UACGUAGGGUGCAAGCGUUAAUCGGAAUUACUGGGCGUAAAGCGUGCGCAGGCGGUUUUGUAAGUCUGUCGUGAAAGCCCCGGGCUCAACCUGGGAAUUGCGAUGGAGACUGCAAGGCUUGAAUCUGGCAGAGGGGGGUAGAAUUCCACGUGUAGCAGUGAAAUGCGUAGAGAUGUGGAGGAACACCGAUGGCGAAGGCAGCCCCCUGGGUCAAGAUUGACGCUCAUGCACGAAAGCGUGGGGAGCAAACGGG
Molecule: ribosomal RNA, 253 nt
Filed under: uncultured bacterium
Lineage: Bacteria
Description: partial 16S ribosomal RNA
Rfam family: Bacterial small subunit ribosomal RNA
Source: RNAcentral